GACGAACGCUGGCGGUGUGCUUAACACAUGCAAGUCGAACGGUAAGGCCCUUUCGGGGGUCCACGAGUGGCGAACGGGUGAGUAACACGUGAGUAACCUGCCCUCAUCUCUGGGAUAACAGUCGGAAACGGUUGCUAAUACUGGAUAUGAGCUUGCAAGGCAUCUUGUGGGUUGGAAAGAUUUUUUUUGGUUGGGGAUGGACUCGCGGCCUAUCAGCUUGUUGGUGAGGUAGUGGCUCACCAAGGCUUCGACGGGUAGCCGGCCUGAGAGGGCGGCCGGCCACAUUGGGACUGAGAUACGGCCCAAACUCCUACGGGAGGCAGCAGUGGGGAAUAUUGCACAAUGGACGGAAGUCUGAUGCAGCAACGCCGCGUGCGGGAUGACGGCCUUCGGGUUGUAAACCGCUUUCAAUUGUGACGAAGCGUUUUUGUGACGGUAGCAGUAGAAGAAGCACCGGCUAACUACGUG
RNAcentral lists this ribosomal RNA (468 nucleotides) under uncultured bacterium. Its description in RNAcentral is "partial 16S ribosomal RNA". It matches the Rfam family "Bacterial small subunit ribosomal RNA", at positions 28 to 507 of the family's 1533-position model. The record is from RNAcentral.